UACGUAGGAUGCAAGCGUUGUCCGGAAUUAUUGGGCGUAAAGAGCCUGUAGGCGGUUUGUCGCGUCUGCUGUGAAAUUUCGGGGCUCAACCCCGAACUUGCAGUGGGUACGGGCAGACUAGAGUGUGGUAGGGGAGACUGGAAUUCCUGGUGUAGCGGUGAAAUGCGCAGAUAUCAGGAGGAACACCGAUGGCGAAGGCAGGUCUCUGGGCCACUACUGACGCUGAGAAGCGAAAGCAUGGGGAGCGAACAGG
This 253-nucleotide ribosomal RNA is filed under the name uncultured bacterium. Its description in RNAcentral is "partial 16S ribosomal RNA". It matches the Rfam family "Bacterial small subunit ribosomal RNA", at positions 524 to 776 of the family's 1533-position model. The record is from RNAcentral.